GAUGAACGCUGGCGGCAUGCCUAACACAUGCAAGUCGAACGCCGAAGGAAGAAGAUCGUUCUCUUCGGAUGAGUUGCGAACGGGCGAGUGACGCGUAGGUCACCAGCCUCGUAGUCGGGGGUAAUUAUUGGAAAAGAUAGCCAAUACUGCAUAACAGUAGCUGUUGCAUGAUACCUGCUUAAUAGGUGCAAUUGCACAACUACCAGACGGAUCUGCGGUGUAUUAGCUAGUUGGUGAGGUAACGGCUCACCAAGGCGACGAUACAUAGCCGAGCUGAGAGGGUGGUGAGCCACAAUGGGACUGAGACACCGGCCAGGCCCCUACGGGGAGGAGCAGGAGGGGAUCAUCGGCAAUGGGCGGAAAGCUUACCGCGGCACUCCGCGUUGGUGGAAAAGGUCUUCGGGUCUUAAAGGUCUGUUGGAGGGGAAAGAAGAGCAGCAGGGUAAAAAGCUGACGCUGUGACGGUAUCUUACGAAUAAGGAACGGCUAACUACGUG
Molecule: ribosomal RNA, 497 nt
Filed under: uncultured bacterium
Lineage: Bacteria
Description: partial 16S ribosomal RNA
Rfam family: Bacterial small subunit ribosomal RNA
Source: RNAcentral